Long non-coding RNA from Apodemus sylvaticus (European woodmouse), 391 nucleotides. RefSeq lists it as uncharacterized. The transcript has 2 exons. The record is from RefSeq and is a predicted model, not a curated record. Lineage: Eukaryota; Metazoa; Chordata; Mammalia; Rodentia; Muridae.
CACGUUCCCUGAGCACAGGAGGAAGGCAGCAUGACCGGGAGCACUUCUGAUGGAGGACAACUGUAACUCAGCCGCUUUCUCCGUUUACAGAUGUGUGCAAGGUCUCGGUGAACCGAGCGUCUACCACAGAGAUGAAAACAGUCUCUCGCUAAACCUGAAGCUCACGAAUUCAGCCAGGCUGGUUGUCCAAUGGAUGUCAAGGACCCUUCUGUGUCUAGCCCUCCAGCACCAGACCUACAAGAGAAUGACACUGUCUCUGACUUUUCACUGGUCCUAGGAAUGAAAUCUCAGGUCCCUCUGCUCAUGUGGCAGGCAUUUUGCCAGCUGAUCCAUCUCCCCCAAACCCAGAUUUGAGUUUUAAGAAUAAAAUAUGUUUAUAUCUUCUAAGAAA